UUGUGGGUGGAUUAGUGGCGAACGGGUGAGUAACACGUGAGUAACCUGCCCUUGACUCUGGGAUAAGCCUGGGAAACUGGGUCUAAUACCGGAUAUGACUGAUCAUCGCAUGGUGGUUGGUGGAAAGCUUUUUGUGGUUUUGGAUGGACUCGCGGCCUAUCAGCUUGUUGGUGAGGUAAUGGCUUACCAAGGCGACGACGGGUAGCCGGCCUGAGAGGGUGACCGGCCACACUGGGACUGAGACACGGCCCAGACUCCUACGGGAGGCAGCAGUGGGGAAUAUUGCACAAUGGGCGCAAGCCUGAUGCAGCGACGCCGCGUGAGGGAUGACGGCCUUCGGGUUGUAAACCUCUUUCAGUAGGGAAGAAGCCUUUCGGGGUGACGGUACCUGCAGAAGAAGCGCCGGCUAACUACGUGCCAGCAGCCGCGGUAAUACGUAGGGCGCAAGCGUUAUCCGGAAUUAUUGGGCGUAAAGAGCUCGUAGGCGGUUUGUCGCGUCUGCCGUGAAAGUCCGGGGCUCAACUCCGGAUCUGCGGUGGGUACGGGCAGACUAGAGUGAUGUAGGGGAGACUGGAAUUCCUGGUGUAGCGGUGAAAUGCGCAGAUAUCAG
Molecule: ribosomal RNA, 610 nt
Filed under: Pseudarthrobacter sp.
Lineage: Bacteria; Bacillati; Actinomycetota; Actinomycetes; Micrococcales; Micrococcaceae
Description: bacterial SSU rRNA
Rfam family: Bacterial small subunit ribosomal RNA
Source: RNAcentral